This is a non-coding RNA of Potamilus streckersoni, 74 nucleotides long. NCBI's taxonomy places the organism in Eukaryota, Metazoa, Mollusca, Bivalvia, Unionida, Unionidae. The record is from the annotation of a GenBank genome assembly.
CACUCUGGUAGCCUGGUGGUUAGACCGUCUGCCUCGGAUGCGGGAGGUCAUGGGUUUGAUCCCCAGUCGAGUCA